UGGGAAGGAGAGAAAAUGGCGGCGGAGCCGAACAAGACCGAAAUCCAGACUCUUUUUAAGAGGCUUCGCGCAGUUCCAACCAACAAGGCCUGUUUCGACUGCGGCGCCAAGAAUCCGAGUUGGGCCAGCAUCACGUACGGUGUUUUCUUGUGCAUUGACUGUUCCGGGGUGCACCGCUCCCUGGGCGUCCAUCUGAGCUUCAUCAGGUCCACAGAGUUGGAUUCCAACUGGAACUGGUUCCAGCUGAGGUGUAUGCAGGUCGGCGGGAAUGCCAAUGCGGUAAAGCUCCUUCUACUUCCCUCACCUUCCAUUCUUCUGCCUGGGUACUAACUUUGCACGACUCCCUAAGAGGCCCUGUCGUUUUCCCUGUUCAGAGGGUUCUCUGUUCUAUAACACCACCAUAAGCUAUUUUCUGAAAACUUCGAAACUGGUCACAGCUUCUCUUAAAUGGGUUUCAGAUUCCGAUUAAACUGGGCAGGUGUUCUUGGGGAAAAGCCACAGGAGUUGGGAGCCUUCACAGUCAUUGGGUCUUGUGGGCCUGCCCUGGAUGAAGGAUGGGGAGGCUGGGUAUGGGAUGUUGUGCUCAGGCAGCGUUCAGUGGGGCCUGGACUUCAGUCAUAUCAAAGGAUGGCCCGCUGCAAGGUGUUUUUUGCAGGAAUUUCGAGAAACUUUGUCUCUGAAAAACCGGUGUCAGUAGCAUGUAUCAUCCUGUAUAGAUAAUAACUCCGCUGUCAUAAGGAGAUGCCUCCUACAGCCAACACGUUUCCUUCUUGAGAAUCACCCGUAGCAUGCGCUGCUCUCUUCUUUGCUCUCCAGACGGCUUUUUUUCGCCAACAUGGAUGCACAGCCAAUGAUGCCAACACCAAAUAUAAUAGCCGAGCUGCCCAGAUGUACCGGGAGAAGAUCCGGCAGCUGGGGAGUGCGGCCCUGGCUAGGCAUGGCACUGAUGUAAGUGCCUGUUCUUGGGGCUGGGGCAGGAGGGUUAGGAGUAUUCAGAGCCCUGUGUUUUAGGGGUGUCUUCUCCUUUCUAGCUUUGGAUAGACAACAUGAGUAGUGCCGUUCCUAAUCACUCCCCAGAGAAGAAGGACUCUGAUUUCUUCACAGAACACACUCAAGUGAGUGCCCACAAGGAACCGUUUUCCCAGUUGUUCUUGACAGGCAAUUUACCAAGGCCCAGGCCUUCUGUGAUCAUGGUUGUAGAUUCCAUUUGCUUUGAUGUGAUGUCUUGGACACCACAUAUGAAGUCCACUGUUCCUGCUGGGUAGGCCUAGGUGUUUCCUCCUCCAUAAAUGGAGGUGCAGUGUAGCCCUCCUUAGAAAUCGACUCCUAUAAAUUGGGCUGGCGGGGAAGAGAAGCAGCUUCUUGAAGUUUCAAGAGGUGUCCGGUGCCCCAAACAAAUUUUCCUGGAUUCUUCCCCUAUAAGAAAGGC
RNAcentral lists this small RNA (1429 nucleotides) under Pan troglodytes (chimpanzee). Its description in RNAcentral is "retained intron". The record is from RNAcentral. Lineage: Eukaryota; Metazoa; Chordata; Mammalia; Primates; Hominidae.